AAUGAACGCUGGCGGCGUGCCUAAUACAUGCAAGUCGAGCGAACGGACGAGAAGCUUGCUUCUCUGAUGUUAGCGGCGGACGGGUGAGUAACACGUGGAUAACCUACCUAUAAGACUGGGAUAACUUCGGGAAACCGGAGCUAAUACCGGAUAAUAUUUUGAACCGCAUGGUUCAAAAGUAAAAGACGGUCUUGCUGUCACUUAUAGAUGGAUCCGCGCUGCAUUAGCUAGUUGGUAAGGUAACGGCUUACCAAGGCAACGAUGCAUAGCCGACCUGAGAGGGUGAUCGGCCACACGGGAACUGAGACACGGUCCAGACUCCUACGGGAGGCAGCAGUAGGGAAUCUUCCGCAAUGGGCGAAAGCCUGACGGAGCAACGCCGCGUGAGUGAUGAAGGUCUUCGGAUCGUAAAACUCUGUUAUUAGGGAAGAACAUAUGUGUAAGUAACUGUGCACAUCUUGACGGUACCUAAUCAGAAAGCCACGGCCAACUACGUG
This 497-nucleotide ribosomal RNA is filed under the name uncultured bacterium. RNAcentral describes it as "partial 16S ribosomal RNA". It matches the Rfam family "Bacterial small subunit ribosomal RNA", at positions 29 to 507 of the family's 1533-position model. The record is from RNAcentral.